This 80-nucleotide small nucleolar RNA is filed under the name Nomascus leucogenys (northern white-cheeked gibbon). RNAcentral's name for it is "Small nucleolar RNA SNORA25 (ENSNLEG00000024046.2)". Lineage: Eukaryota; Metazoa; Chordata; Mammalia; Primates; Hylobatidae. The record is from RNAcentral.
AGAGUAUGACCAAAAACUGAAGUUCUCUAUAGGAUGUCAUAGCACUCAAUGGUGCUAUGUUUUCCUCAGGAGAUAUGACU